GACAGAGGGUGCAAACGUUGUUCGGAAUUACUGGGCGUAAAGGGCUUGUAGGUGGCCAACUAAGUCAGACGUGAAAUCCCUCGGCUUAACCGGGGAACUGCGUCUGAUACUGGAUGGCUUGAGUGUGGGAGAGGGAUGCGGAAUUCCAGGUGUAGCGGUGAAAUGCGUAGAUAUCUGGAGGAACACCGGUGGCGAAGGCGGCAUCCUGGACCAUUACUGACACUGAAAAGCGAAAGCCAGGGGAGCAAACGGG
Molecule: ribosomal RNA, 253 nt
Filed under: uncultured bacterium
Lineage: Bacteria
Description: partial 16S ribosomal RNA
Rfam family: Bacterial small subunit ribosomal RNA
Source: RNAcentral